Molecule: long non-coding RNA, 1278 nt
Organism: Scylla paramamosain (green mud crab)
Lineage: Eukaryota; Metazoa; Arthropoda; Malacostraca; Decapoda; Portunidae
Exons: 3
Source: RefSeq, a predicted model, not a curated record
UUUCAGCCGCUAGGCAAGAUUUUAUGGGCUCAAAAAAUCGUUUAUUGUCUUUUAAAUAUGUUAUGAUGCUUUUGAGUGAAAUACGUGGACUUUUAGAGGGGUUUUAGACCCGUUGAACACUCAAAAAGUCGACAUUUAUAAAUUAUUUAUUUAUUUAUUUCAGCUUCCGGUUAACUUCUGAUUGUUUGUAAAAAUAGUUUCGAUUUUUUAAAGUGUAUUGUGUUCGUGAGAAAUGAGAUUUGUGGAUUUUGGAAUGUAUUUUUUUAUCGUGUUUGUUCGAACACUUUUUCAUAUAGUUAUUUAAAUAUAGCUUUAUUAUUACUGAAGCUUGGAAUAUUUUUAUAUGUCCAGAAUUAAUUUAAAAUUAUGCCCUUUCAUAAUAUGUAAAGCAUUCCGGCCUAGCUCCAUUUUUGCGAGGGGUCAUUUUCAAAAUCAUUUGCGUAACGUAAAUAUGGCGGACGUGACGUCAUCAGCCGCCUUCAUCCGGGGACCGAGACCCUGGACCUUCCCUCCUCCCAGUGCCCUUCCAUUAGUAUUUAGUGUUAUUUCCUAUAUUUUCCAGCUGUUUUCAUGCAUAGAGAAGAAUAGAAAGAGGAGGAAAGAAGGAGAAAUGAAGAAGGAGGAGGAAGAAGAGGGAAGGGAAGGAGGAAGAGGAGAAGGAAAAGAAGAAAUAUUAAGAAAAGAUUUUCACUGAAUUUCCAGCGUUUUAAAGAAUUAAUUGAUGAGCUACAGAACUACAGCAUCGUUCAGGUGGCAGCCGGAGACCAGCACUCUCUUUCUCUCACCUCCUGGGGCCUGGUGAUAAACAGUGCACACGCGGGACUGAGUCACUCGGUAAACACAGUGCAGCGGGCCGCGGGUGGCGCCAAGCAGUGCGCUCUGGUGGCCAGGGGACAGAGUAUGCCUUGUGCGGGAAUUUUAAUCGAUUUUGUGAGUACACAUUGAUUUUUUAUUGAUUUUAAGGCUCAGGGAAAAAUGUGCCGGAUACUUGAAGCUGCCGGAUACUGGAAUGCCGGAUGAGAGGGAUUUUACUGUACAAGUAUAUUCAAAUUAUUUCUCCUAGACAGGUUAGGUUCUCUCCCUCUCCCUCUCUCUCUAAUCUCCCCUCUCACUCUCUCUCUCUCUCUUUAAAGGUAUAUUAUAUCUUAAGUUAAGUUGGGUUUUGUUAGAUUAGGUCUUAGUUUCUCUCUCUCUCUCUCUCUCUCUCUCUCUCUCUCUCUCUCUCUCUCUCUCUCUCUCUCUCUCUCUCUCUCUCCCUCUCCCUCUCCCUCUCCCUCC